GACUAUUUUGGGGGAAAGGGAAUAGUCUUGUUCUGCUUCAACUUGGAAUAAAGAUCUAGGACCAACGAUGAAAAGAGGCAGAGAACAAUUUCAUGAAGGCAAAUUUCAUGAAAAACUUUUUACAAUGAGAAUUGGUCAUCAAUGAUGGUAUGAACUGCUUCCAUAGAUGAUGAGUUCCCCAUUACUGGACAUAUUCAAGUAGAAGUUAGACAAUACCUCAGUAUAUAUUUUAAAAGGCUAUCCUACAAUCCAGUGUUAUUCUUGGUGCUCACCAAAGGCCUGGCAUACAACUCAUUUAUUGGACAAUUUGUCUAUAACAUUAGAGGAUCUUACAGGUCCUUUCCAAUUCUGCUAAAGGCCCUUUCAGCUCUGACAUUCCUUGCUCUCAGCUCUAACACCCUUGUAUUCUAAGGGCCUUCCCAACUUUGACAUUCUGUUUUAAGUCUCCUUCCAGUUCUGACAUUUCCUGUUCCAAAGCUCCUCCCAGCUCUGGCAUUGUGUGCUCCAAGGAUCUUCCCAGAACUGCCCUUUUGUCUUUUGGUCCUUUCAAGCCUUUUGUAAUUCUGAUUUCAAAUCUCAGCAGUUACCAGAGGUUUUUUCUCAGUCAGCCUGUCUUUUUGGGCCUGCCCUGAAUUUGGGACUUGGGUUGGCUAUUUAAGUCAGAGCUAAGGCUAGGUUAGGGUCCCGAAUGCCAACCUGAUGGGGCUGUAGGCUCUGGCGCAGAUCCUCGAUCCAACGAUCUCUCUCGACUGCUGAGCCACAGGAGAAGCAGCGACUUCCACUGGGCCAGCUCACCUGGUUCUCUGGCUCCUGCGGCUAUCAGUUGCACACUGCCUUCAGAGCCCACGCUCCCAGCCCUGGCAAGAUUUCUUCCUGAAGCCUAUUUACAGAUAGAAGCAGCAGUUUCCCAUCCAGGAGGGUGAAGCCACUGAUGUCCCAGACUGGAGCAUCUGCAGUGGGAGCCUCAGGAAUGCGCUGAGUCACAGGUGGGAAAUCUGAGCAGAGAGUAUGCAGGUGACAUCAAUGAUGACAAUGACAAUAGGGAGCAUUUACAUAGUGCUUUCAAGUUUGGCAAAGUAUCUUACACAUGCUAUUGCAUUGUAUCUUCUACAGAACGCUGGGAAGGCCUGAAAAUCCCCUUUUUUGGUCUUUCAAAAUAUUCUUAAAUUCGAGUCCUUCUAGUGCUAUCAGCUCAACCAGCUCACCGAAUCACAGACUCAGAAUUGGAACGGAACUCUGAAGUCAUCCAAGGCAAACCAUUCUAGAAAAAGACUAUCCCCUACAAACUGCUGGGCACUAGCCAAUUGCUAAGUGGUCUCUUCCUUGCUCUGGCCCCAUCUUUCUCCCUCUCUAAGAACCUAGGAGUGAUUAUCAUUUCUAGGUGGGAGGGAGUAAGGAUGUUGGUGCUACCAAGGAGAGGUAUAGGGAUUGGAGACCUACAUUUAUAGAAUGAUUUAAGAUUUAUCAAUAUUUGGGAAUCUAUGUGUCAAAACAAACACAGGAAUUAUAUGAACACAACUAUAAAACAUUUUUCACAGAAUUAAAACUAGAUCUAAACAAGUAGAAAAACAUUAAUUGUUCAUGGGUAGGAAGAACUAAUAUAAUAAAAAUGACAAUCCUAUCUAAAUUACUUUACUUAUUCAGUGCUAUACCUAUCAAAUGAACAAAACCUUUUUUACAGAAUUAGAAAAAAUAAUAGCAAAGUUCAUCUGGAAGAGCAAAAGAUAAGAAUAUCAAGGGAACUAAUGAAAAAAAUGUGAAGGAUGGUGGCCUAGCAGUACCAGAUCUUAAAACUGUACUGUAAAGCAGCAAUCAUCAAAACAAUAUGGUACUGGCUAAGAGACAGAAGGGUGGAUCAAUGGAAUAGACUGGAGUAAAUGACCUCAGCAAUCUAGUGUUCAAUAAACUCACUAUUUGACAAAAACUUCUGGGAAAAUUAGAAAACAGUAUGGCAAAAAUUAGAUUUAGAUUAAUAUCUCACACCCUAUACCAAGAUAAAUUCAAAAUAGGUAUAUGAUUUAAUAUAAAGAAUGAUAUUAUAAGUAAGAUAGGUGAACGUAGAAUAAUAUGCCUGUCAGAUCUCUGGGGAAGGGAAGAAUUUAAGACCAAGCAAGAGAUAUAGAACAUUACAAGAUAUAAAAUGAAUAAUUUUGAUUAUAUUAAAUUUAAAAAGUUUUGUACAAACAAAACAAUUGCAACCAAAAUUAGAAGGGAAGCAACAAAUUGGGAAAAAAUCUUUAUAACAAAAAACUCCGACAAAGGUCUAAUUUUUCCAAUGUAUAAGGAACUAUGUCAAAUUUACAAGAAAUCAAGCCAUUCCCCAAUUGACAAAUGGUCAAGGGAUAUGAAUAGGCAGUUUUCAGAUGAAGAAAUCAAAACUAUAAAUAAUCAUAUGAAAAAGUGUUUUAAAUCCCUUCUAAUUAGAGAAAUACUUGUAUAACCCAGUGGAAUUGCUUGUUAGCUUUGGGAGAGGGAAAGGAAGAGGAGGAGAGAACAUGAAUCAUGUAAC
Long non-coding RNA from Monodelphis domestica (gray short-tailed opossum), 2509 nucleotides. RefSeq lists it as uncharacterized. NCBI's taxonomy places the organism in Eukaryota, Metazoa, Chordata, Mammalia, Didelphimorphia, Didelphidae. The record is from RefSeq and is a predicted model, not a curated record.